This 460-nucleotide ribosomal RNA is filed under the name uncultured bacterium. RNAcentral describes it as "partial 16S ribosomal RNA". It matches the Rfam family "Bacterial small subunit ribosomal RNA", at positions 338 to 795 of the family's 1533-position model. The record is from RNAcentral.
CCUACGGGAGGCAGCAGUGAGGAAUAUUGGUCAAUGGGCGAGAGCCUGAACCAGCCAAGUCGCGUGAAGGAUGAAGGAUCUAUGGUUUGUAAACUUCUUUUAUAUGGGAAUAAAGUGCGGAACGUGUUCCUUUUUGUAUGUACCAUAUGAAUAAGCAUCGGCUAACUCCGUGCCAGCAGCCGCGGUAAUACGGAGGAUGCGAGCGUUAUCCGGAUUUAUUGGGUUUAAAGGGUGCGUAGGUGGUUAAUUAAGUAAGCGGGGAAAGUUUGUGGCUCAACCAUAAAAUUGCCGUUGAAACUGGUUGACUUGAGUAUAUUUGAGGUAGGCGGAAUGCGUGGUGUAGCGGUGAAAUGCAUAGAUAUCACGCAGAACGCCGAUUGCGAAGGCAGCUUACUAAACUAUAACUGACACUGAAGCACGAAAGCGUGGGGAUCAAACAGGAUUAGAUACCCGGGUAGUC